RNAcentral lists this ribosomal RNA (273 nucleotides) under Duganella sp. FT27W. RNAcentral describes it as "partial 16S ribosomal RNA". It matches the Rfam family "Bacterial small subunit ribosomal RNA", at positions 327 to 592 of the family's 1533-position model. Lineage: Bacteria; Pseudomonadati; Pseudomonadota; Betaproteobacteria; Burkholderiales; Oxalobacteraceae. The record is from RNAcentral.
CGGUCCAGACUCCUACGGGAGGCAGCAGUGGGGAAUUUUGGACAAUGGGCGCAAGCCUGAUCCAGCAAUGCCGCGUGAGUGAAGAAGGCCUUCGGGUUGUAAAGCUCUUUUGUCAGGGAAGAAACGGUGUUUUCUAAUACAGAGCGCUAAUGACGGUACCUGAAGAAUAAGCACCGGCUAACUACGUGCCAGCAGCCGCGGUAAUACGUAGGGUGCAAGCGUUAAUCGGAAUUACUGGGCGUAAAGCGUGCGCAGGCGGUUUUGUAAGACUGU